AGUUCUGAGGAAUCAACUUGUUUCAACUUUUCAAUACCAAUCAUCAAGUUCAUCUUUAGCUCCUUCCAUGCAUUCUGCACUGAAUUCUUGGGCCAAACUAUCAGGUCCUCUUUUGCUUCUACAUCUACGCAUAACUUAAUCAAGAAGCCGCAGCAACCACCAAGCAAGACCCCGAGAUUUGCAUCGGCGCUUUAUGGACUCAACCUUUUCAAGACCCUCGUUAAGUACUGAUUCUUAAUUCUGCUGUUGGGUGUCUAUCUUAACAUUCAUACUUGUACAAAUCAGGAAACUUACUAGUGAGAUUGCUAUGAAAUUCUUUCGUUGAUUCAAUCGAAGUUGUUUUAAGCUUAAUGUGAAC
Molecule: unclassified non-coding RNA, 358 nt
Filed under: Hevea brasiliensis (rubber tree)
Lineage: Eukaryota; Viridiplantae; Streptophyta; Magnoliopsida; Malpighiales; Euphorbiaceae
Source: RNAcentral